GAUCAUGGCUCAGGAUGAACGAUAGCUACAGGCUUAACACAUGCAAGUCGAGGGGCAGCAUGGUCUUAGCUUGCUAAGGCCGAUGGCGACCGGCGCACGGGUGAGUAACACGUAUCCAACCUGCCGUCUACUCUUGGACAGCCUUCUGAAAGGAAGACUUAAUACAAGAUGGCAUCAUGAGUUCACAUGUUCACAUGAUUAAAGGGUAUUCCGGUAGACGAUGGGG
This 226-nucleotide ribosomal RNA is filed under the name uncultured bacterium. RNAcentral's name for it is "partial 16S ribosomal RNA". It matches the Rfam family "Bacterial small subunit ribosomal RNA", at positions 15 to 230 of the family's 1533-position model. The record is from RNAcentral.